GGGUCGAUGGCGUAGUUGGUUAUCGCAUCUGUCUCACAUUGGUGACUGCCGGCUUCGCUACAUGUGCACAGGAGGUCCUCAGUUCGAACCUGGGUCGACUCA
Lyophyllum atratum is the source of this 102-nucleotide non-coding RNA. The record is from the annotation of a GenBank genome assembly. Lineage: Eukaryota; Fungi; Basidiomycota; Agaricomycetes; Agaricales; Lyophyllaceae.